RNAcentral lists this long non-coding RNA (305 nucleotides) under Brassica napus (rape). RNAcentral's name for it is "long non-coding RNA (BNAP_LNC019955)". The record is from RNAcentral. Lineage: Eukaryota; Viridiplantae; Streptophyta; Magnoliopsida; Brassicales; Brassicaceae.
UGAAUAAGUGGUCCAGAAGAAUAUUCUCCCAUUUGUGGUUUGUUGUAAGAUUUUGAUUUCUUCACCUUCAUUGUUAGAAUUAUUUUAAUUAGACAUUCUAAAAGAUAUCUUAUCACAUUUUCUCUCUCAACCAUUUGCGUGAAGACUUUACUCAUUGGAACCCCUGCUAUAUCCCCCUUUCCAUUCUCACUAAUGGACACAUUGUAACUAUACAACCUUGUUCUCUCAUUCUCCCUCCAAGUCUAAUCCAUGCUUUAAUUGCACCAUGGUAGAGCUAUACAUAGCCUAAUCCCCACCUCAAACAC